This is a long non-coding RNA of Pan troglodytes (chimpanzee), 1911 nucleotides long. RefSeq lists it as uncharacterized. The transcript has 2 exons. The record is from RefSeq and is a predicted model, not a curated record. Lineage: Eukaryota; Metazoa; Chordata; Mammalia; Primates; Hominidae.
AACAAAACCUUUUCCAUCAGCAAAGCAUUUUAGAACCUCAAGCUACACUGUUCCCACCUGCAACUGUCUAAGGUAUUGGAGGUCAAGGACAGUCCAAGGCCAAGUCAAGGACCAUCAGGACACAGAGGAGUAACUUCUGAGGCAGCCCCCGGUGGUAACAUAAAAGCGUAAUAUGCAUCAGACAAGUGCCUUCGCUGUGAGAUGUUGGGGAACCAAGCCCAGUGGGGUGGCUGGCGUCAGCUCAGUGUUCCAGAAAAGCCAAACUGUUCACCACGACUUGCCCUGAUUUUGCCUUCACUGCUAUUCAAAGAGGCCUGAAGCAGUUACUGAAAGCAAUUCCAAGAAAUUGAGUUAAAAAAAGAAAAUUAAAGUUUAGAAAAAAAUCAUUUGAAUAAGUGCGUAGACUUACAAAUAAAUUCUGAAUGGAACAGAAUAUUUGGGGGGUUCAUAACCUUUGGUAUAUUUGUUUUAAAAACCAGCCGCACCUCAAACACACCCACCAACAAUGAGACGAAUGGCUAGCACUUAUGAGGAAUUAUUAUUCAUUUAAAAUACCCUUUAAACUAUGUCACAAAGAUAAAUUUGUUUAGUCCUUACCUGUCCCCACGCUUCAAAAUAAACCAUAAUAUUUCUAUUGAAGCCAGUUUCUUGUUCUUGGAAUCAGCUUUUUGAGUUGUCAGUUAGGCUAGAUGAGCUGAUUAGUAUGGAACUUAACACUGUCAGUAGCAAAACAGGUGCUCUAUCAGAGAAAUAUCAAUCCAUUUUAGGAAUGUUUUUGAGAGUGAACUGUGGUAUCUAUGAGAGAAAAAUCAAGCCUUUUCCCUCUUCUGGUCUGCUACGGUAAAUGGUGUGACACAAGGAUGUUUCACUGCCCAAUUAGCGUGGUCCAUUUUAAAGUGAAUCUGUUAUUUUCCUUUCCUUCCUCAUUCUUGACUUUUAGACACUGCAAGUUAACCUCAAAGAAUGUCUUCUUUGGGCAUAAUUUUACAAAUAUUCUUUAAGAUCCUUUAUCACAUUUCAAAGCACUUUGCGAAAACAAAAUGUCCUCAGUGGGGCAGGUGAGAUCUCAGGAAUAGUGAUAGAAUUCAUUUUAAAUAAGUCUGUGUGAUUUUUCUACUGUAUCAUUUCAGGGACUUUGCUUAAAGAGGCUUUAAGGAAGAACUUAAAAUGGAGAAAGCCAACUUUUGAACGUGGUGAUCAGGUUGCCUUCAGUCUCUUCUACGUCAGGGAGUCAAGGGGCUGUGGAACCAUCCGUUCCACCUGCUACAUGCUUUCUCACCCUUCUCCUAAACUGACAAAUACUAUGUGGCAUCUCCAUCAUGGUUGACAUUGCUAGGCCCUACCUUAUUCAACUCUAACUGAAAAAUGGGGAGCAAGACGGGAUUAUGUAAGAAAAAAUGAAAAACUUUGAGGGCCAACUAACAGAUUUCCUAAACUAAUGAUGUAUUUUAAUAUUCCAGGGAUUUGAUUUAGGACAAAUUGUUAUUUGGAUGGAUGCUUGUCUAUUGAGAGAGUAAUUGUUAAACUAAAGGAAACUGGUCACAAAUACUUUAGCAAUGGCUAUAAAUGACCAGUGGGCCAAGGAUUUUGAGAUCGUGAGAGACUUCUCCAGGAAUGUUGUCAUUCAUUUCACUCCAGUGUGGCUCUUUUCCUCCAUCUGCGCUCACUUUUCUAGGAGAACUAUGGCCACUAUGGAGAAUAUGAAAACAUUGCUGAAGGAGGUGAAAGCCAUUUCAGAAGAAGAGUUAUAUAUUAGCUUUUGGCAGUGACAGCGUUAUGGGCACGGACAUUCAGCCUUUCCAGUUGACUGCUUUGAAGGGGCAAUGUUCACGUGGAAGUAUACCUCCUAGUACGUUUGCUAAAAUAAAAUCAGCUUCAUUACCUAAUAACAUAAAUGACUUUGGGAGAAAA